AUUGAACGCUGGCGGCAUGCCUUACACAUGCAAGUCGAACGGUAACAGGUCUUCGGAUGCUGACGAGUGGCGCACGGGUGAGUAAUACAUCGGAACGUGCCCGAUCGUGGGGGAUAACGAAGCGAAAGCUUUGCUAAUACCGCAUACGAUCUACGGAUGAAAGCAGGGGACCGCAAGGCCUUGCGCGAACGGAGCGGCCGAUGGCAGAUUAGGUAGUUGGUGGGAUAAAAGCUUACCAAGCCGACGAUCUGUAGCUGGUCUGAGAGGACGACCAGCCACACUGGGACUGAGACACGGCCCAGACUCCUACGGGAGGCAGCAGUGGGGAAUUUUGGACAAUGGGCGAAAGCCUGAUCCAGUCAUGCCGCGUGCAGGAUGAAGGCCUUCGGGUUGUAAACUGCUUUUGUACGGAACGAAAAGACUCUGGUUAAUACUUGGGGUCCAUGACGGUACCGUAAGAAUAAGCACCGGCUAACUACGUG
This 482-nucleotide ribosomal RNA is filed under the name uncultured bacterium. Its description in RNAcentral is "partial 16S ribosomal RNA". It matches the Rfam family "Bacterial small subunit ribosomal RNA", at positions 30 to 507 of the family's 1533-position model. The record is from RNAcentral.